This 1524-nucleotide long non-coding RNA is filed under the name Mus pahari (shrew mouse). RNAcentral describes it as "predicted gene 12524 (MGP_PahariEiJ_G0005781.1)". Lineage: Eukaryota; Metazoa; Chordata; Mammalia; Rodentia; Muridae. The record is from RNAcentral.
GGGGGAUUCUGUAGCCUCUACUUCUGUCUCCCUAGACAGAAUUCUGGGCCAGAAACCCUCCCAACAGCCACUGGAGGGCCCUGUCUAUUCCUCCAGGGUGCAGAUGCAGGGGCCCAGGUGGCUGCCAGCAAAAUGCAGCUGGGGACUGGAGUGGAAGCUGCACCCUCAGGAAACAGGCUACACUUUCACCCCAGCCAGUUCCCAGCCUAAUUAGAGACCGGAACGGCAUUGAUCGUCCCUGGGCUCAUUAUGUCACAGCUGGGGAACAGCUGGCCAGUCUUUUCCAGGCCAUUAGCUGCGCCGUGAAGUGGAGAAAAGGCGGGGGUGAGCAAGCAGGAUCAAUACCCUGUCUGUGUGUGGGGAAAACAGCUUGGUGGCUGCCUCCCCUGGCUCUCUGGACUGUGUUUCUCUCAAAGGCUGCCUCCUGUGCACAAGCUUCGAGUUCACGCAUGGAAACCCAGCUCUAACCAUCUGGGAGCUUGGCUCUUGGAUCUCUCGCCUGCCAGAAGCUGUCCUGUCAGUCUUGAGACCCGACCUGGAGAGUCAUUGAGGUUUCUCAACAACAGCCAACCCUCUGAGGGACCCAUGUGACCCUCCGUGAAAGCUGACCCUCCGGUCCCAGGCAAGUUUUCUGAUGACUGAGCUUCCACGUGGCAUGUACCUGCAGCUGAGAAACCACCCUAGCAUGGGUCUCUGGCAUCUCUGGCCAACAGAAAUUGUGUUUCACAGUAAUUGAUUUCCUGAUUCCUCUUUCCUUCUCCUCCAAAAAGGACCACCCACCCUUCUCGACUUUUCAUCAUGCCCGGAUUAAACAGGAAAGGGGGAAAAAAAAUCUUUUCAGAUCAUGUAUAAGUUUAAUGUGCUAAUACCCCUAGAAGAGAUAAUACAGUCUCUUAAAUUCACAGUAAAAACAUGGAGAGAUCUAGCUUCCUUCUUUUUAAACUCUUAGCAAGCUAAUUUGUUGAGAGGUUAAUUUCAGGCGUUGUCUUGCUACUGUAAAAGACUGGAAAGAAAAGCUUGCUAAUUUCUCCCUCUGUGCCCACUAUCUCAAGAAUGAAUUCUUGGAUGACAUGGUCUUGGUUCAUCCUGGGCCUUGCCCCCAGUCAUCAAUUUUCAUACUUUGAUUAACAGCUUCUUUGUGUUUAGGGAGGCCAUCUUACAGAAAAUACCUCGAUGCCCACCACUGGCCUUCACUUUUGAGAAUUAAUAGAGAAAGUAUCAUGAGCUGACAACCAGGAAGUGCAGGUGCUGCUUCGGAAAGAAGGUAAGUGGGAGAGCUGGAUAGGACAGGAAGUUGGGGAGGGAAGGUGGGCUGUCUGUGGAAGGACACAGCUCCCAAGCCCAGUGGUGACUAGCAGGCUUGCAGGCUAAGCAGCAGUGUUCUUCAAUGGUACUCCAAGAUGUAUAGACUAGUGGCAUCAAAAAUAGAGAGGGAAGAACAAAAACAAAACAAAAAACAAAAACAAAAUAAAGCUCUUCUCCCAAAUUUUAGCGACUUCACAGUCCCGCAGAGAAAGCAGAAGG